RNAcentral lists this transfer RNA (72 nucleotides) under Sphaerodactylus townsendi. Its description in RNAcentral is "tRNA-Ala". The record is from RNAcentral. Lineage: Eukaryota; Metazoa; Chordata; Lepidosauria; Squamata; Sphaerodactylidae.
GGGGCUGUGACUCAAUGGCAGAUCAGCUGCUUUGCGUGCAGAAGGUCCCGGGUUCAAUCCCUGGAACCACCA